Amphimedon queenslandica is the source of this 419-nucleotide long non-coding RNA. RefSeq lists it as uncharacterized. The transcript has 2 exons. The record is from RefSeq and is a predicted model, not a curated record. Lineage: Eukaryota; Metazoa; Porifera; Demospongiae; Haplosclerida; Niphatidae.
GUGUGUUCGCAAUAUGGCGUCUUUUUCUCUGUUUUCAAAUCCUUGCUGCUCUUUGCUCAGGUCCUGUGGAGUCCCACUGUCAAAUAAAAUAAUUGCCAAAAGUAGUUUUUCUUCAGUUUACUUCUUCAUCUGUCUUCUCCUUGGCAGCAUGAGCCAGUAAUGUUGCUAAACGUAGUCAGGAUUCCGGGUAACUCUCUCAUGACGAAGGAAAUUUGUCUUAAAUUCUUAAUUUCUGAGAUAUGGUAGCUCAAACAUCGCUUACCGCGACUGUUUACACGAGGUCCUGUUCUCCAGGAAGAUCUGUCAGAGUCUUUUAAACUGUAGAUUCUCACUAUCAAGUUUGUAUACAACAAAUUGAGCCUGAUUAUUGUGUCAUAAACUGUGUAUAAGUGUAGAAAACUGAAGCUUUUUACCAGUAA